AAUCAACGCUGGCGGCGUGCCUCAGACAUGCAAGUCGAACGAUUAAAGCUCUCUUCGGAGAGUGUAUAGAGUGGCGCACGGGUGAGUAACACGUAAGUAAUCUACCCUCGAGUGGGGAAUAACAACCGGAAACGGUUGCUAAUACCGCAUAAUGCAGCGGCACCGCAAGGUGACAGUUGUUAAAGAUUUAUCGCUUGAGGAGGAGCUUGCGGCAGAUUAGCUAGUUGGUAGGGUAACGGCUUACCAAGGCUACGAUCUGUAACCGGUCUAAGAGGACGGUCGGUCACACUGACACUGAAUAACGGGUCAGACUCCUACGGGAGGCAGCAGUCGGGAAUUUUGGGCAAUGGGCGAAAGCCUGACCCAGCAACGCCGCGUGAAGGAUGAAGUAUUUCGGUAUGUAAACUUCGAAAGAAUAGGAAGAAUUAAUGACGGUUACUAUUUAUAAGGUCCGGCUAACUACGUGCCAGCAGCCGCGGAAU
RNAcentral lists this ribosomal RNA (482 nucleotides) under uncultured bacterium. Its description in RNAcentral is "bacterial SSU rRNA". It matches the Rfam family "Bacterial small subunit ribosomal RNA", at positions 32 to 523 of the family's 1533-position model. The record is from RNAcentral.